GAACCAGGGGAACAUGCCUGGCAUCCAGAGCACCUUCCUGGCCAUGGACACGGAGGAGGGGGUGGAGGUGGUGUGGAACGAGCUGCUCUUCACAGACAAGAAGGCCUUCAAAGCACACGAGGAGAAGAUCAAGACCAUGUUCGAGCAGCUGGUGCUGGUGGAUCACCCCAACAUCGUGAAGCUCCACAAGUACUGGCUGGACGUCAAGGACUCCAAGGCACGGGUGAUCUUCAUCACAGA
This is a long non-coding RNA of Neopelma chrysocephalum (saffron-crested tyrant-manakin), 240 nucleotides long. RefSeq lists it as uncharacterized. NCBI's taxonomy places the organism in Eukaryota, Metazoa, Chordata, Aves, Passeriformes, Pipridae. The transcript is spliced from 3 exons. The record is from RefSeq and is a predicted model, not a curated record.